GCACCGCUGAGGAGUCCAAUACAGGAACGAAACGGCCGUCCAGUGC
This is a non-coding RNA of Schistosoma margrebowiei, 46 nucleotides long. Lineage: Eukaryota; Metazoa; Platyhelminthes; Trematoda; Strigeidida; Schistosomatidae. The record is from Rfam.